RNAcentral lists this ribosomal RNA (492 nucleotides) under uncultured bacterium. RNAcentral describes it as "partial 16S ribosomal RNA". It matches the Rfam family "Bacterial small subunit ribosomal RNA", at positions 29 to 507 of the family's 1533-position model. The record is from RNAcentral.
AGUGAACGCUGGCGGUAGGCCUAACACAUGCGAGUCGAACGGCAGCACAGUAAGAGCUUGCUCUUACGGGUGGCGAGUGGCGGACGGGUGAGGAAUACAUCGGAAUCUACUUUUUCGUGGGGGAUAACGUAGGGAAACUUACGCUAAUACCGCAUACGACCUACGGGUGAAAGCAGGGGAUCUUCGGACCUUGCGCGAUUGAAUGAGCCGAUGUCGGAUUAGCUAGUUGGCGGGGUAAAGGCCCACCAAGGCGACGAUCCGUAGCUGGUCUGAGAGGAUGAUCAGCCACACUGGAACUGAGACACGGUCCAGACUCCUACGGGAGGCAGCAGUGGGGAAUAUUGGACAAUGGGCGCAAGCCUGAUCCAGCCAUACCGCGUGGGUGAAGAAGGCCUUCGGGCUGUAAAGCCCUUUUGUUGGGAAAGAAAAGCAGCAGGUUAAUACCCCGCUGUUCUGACGGUACCCAAAGAAUAAGCACCGGCUAACUUCGUG